This 614-nucleotide ribosomal RNA is filed under the name Gephyromantis fiharimpe. RNAcentral's name for it is "partial 16S ribosomal RNA". The stretch from base 1 to 421 matches the Rfam family "Bacterial large subunit ribosomal RNA", at positions 687 to 1300 of the family's 2925-position model. The record is from RNAcentral. Lineage: Eukaryota; Metazoa; Chordata; Amphibia; Anura; Mantellidae.
CAAGCAAAAUGAAUUUUAGUUUGAACCCCCGAAACUAAGUGAGCUACUUCGAAACAGUCAAGAACUAACCCGUCUCUGUAGCAAUAGAGUGGGAUGAUUUCCAAAUAGAGGUGACAAACCUACCGCACUUAGAGAUAGCUGGUUACUCAAGAAAAGAAUUUAAGUUCAACCUUAAGUUUAUUAAUUACAAAAAAAAUAACUAAAACUUAAGAGCUAUUCAAAUAAGGCACAGCUUAUUUGAAACAGGACACAACCUCUGACAUAGGGUAAUAAUUGAAAACUGGUACCAAGUAGGCCUAAAAGCAGCCAUCUUACAAAAGCGUCAAAGCUUAGUAUCCAUUCUAUUCUGAUACCUCAACAUAUUUUCAACCCAUCACCAGUAUUGAGUAAUUCCAUAAACCUAUGGAAGAUAUAAUGCUAGAACUAGUAACAAGAAUAAACCUUCUCCAAAAUGUAAGCCUAAGCCACUAUAGAUAUACUACUGGCAAUUAACGCAAAUGAGUACACCAUAGCAACUCCAACAAGAAAAUCCUAUGAAUUCUAGCGUCAACCUUACACUAGAACACUUAUGGAAAGAUUAAAAGAAAAAGAAGGAACUCGGCAAAACCCAGCCC